Molecule: ribosomal RNA, 408 nt
Filed under: uncultured bacterium
Lineage: Bacteria
Description: bacterial SSU rRNA
Rfam family: Bacterial small subunit ribosomal RNA
Source: RNAcentral
GUGGGGAAUAUUGGGCAAUGGGCGCAAGCCUGACCCAGCAACGCCGCGUGAAGGAAGAAGGCCCUCGGGUUGUAAACUUCUUUUGUCAGGGACGAAGCAAGUGACGGUACCUGACGAAUAAGCCACGGCUAACUACGUGCCAGCAGCCGCGGUAAUACGUAGGUGGCAAGCGUUAUCCGGAUUUACUGGGUGUAAAGGGCGUGUAGGCGGGAGAGCAAGUCAGACGUGAAAUUCCAGGGCUCAACCCUGGAACUGCGUUUGAAACUGUUCUUCUUGAGUGAUGGAGAGGCAGGCGGAAUUCCGUGUGUAGCGGUGAAAUGCGUAGAUAUACGGAGGAACACCAGUGGCGAAGGCGGCCUGCUGGACAUUAACUGACGCUGAGGCGCGAAAGCGUGGGGAGCAAACAGG